CCUCCUCUUCUUGGCGAGGUUCGGGUGUGUGGUCCCAGUUCCCGUAAUGAAUGGAGGCAGAGGGAGAGAUCCCCGACCCCCUUGGCGUCAUUCCUUCCAUGCUGACGGUUUCCAGUCCACCGGUUCUAUUCCCAAGCACUGGGACAUGG
RNAcentral lists this small nucleolar RNA (149 nucleotides) under Myotis brandtii (Brandt's bat). Its description in RNAcentral is "Small nucleolar RNA SNORA57". It matches the Rfam family "Small nucleolar RNA SNORA57". From Rfam's summary of the family: U99 belongs to the H/ACA class of snoRNAs which are thought to guide the sites of modification of uridines to pseudouridines, the target for this family is unknown. Lineage: Eukaryota; Metazoa; Chordata; Mammalia; Chiroptera; Vespertilionidae. The record is from Rfam by way of RNAcentral.